This 33-nucleotide non-coding RNA is filed under the name Halobacillus kuroshimensis DSM 18393. Its description in RNAcentral is "L31-Firmicutes ribosomal protein leader". It matches the Rfam family "L31-Firmicutes ribosomal protein leader". Lineage: Bacteria; Bacillati; Bacillota; Bacilli; Caryophanales; Bacillaceae. The record is from RNAcentral.
CUCUGUCUCUCAAGGAUUCAGGGCAAAAAGGAG